GUACACUCCUACGGGAGGCAGCAGUGGGGAAUAUUGCACAAUGGGCGCAAGCCUGAUGCAGCCAUGCCGCGUGUAUGAAGAAGGCCUUCGGGUUGUAAAGUACUUUCAGCGGGGAGGAAGGCGAUAAGGUUAAUAACCUUGUCGAUUGACGUUACCCGCAGAAGAAGCACCGGCUAACUCCGUGCCAGCAGCCGCGGUAAUACGGAGGGUGCAAGCGUUAAUCGGAAUUACUGGGCGUAAAGCGCACGCAGGCGGUCUGUCAAGUCGGAUGUGAAAUCCCCGGGCUCAACCUGGGAACUGCAUUCGAAACUGGCAGGCUAGAGUCUUGUAGAGGGGGGUAGAAUUCCAGGUGUAGCGGUGAAAUGCGUAGAGAUCUGGAGGAAUACCGGUGGCGAAGGCGGCCCCCUGGACAAAGACUGACGCUCAGGUGCGAAAGCGUGGGGAGCAAACAGGAUUAGAAACCCCAGGAGUCCCAU
Molecule: ribosomal RNA, 476 nt
Filed under: uncultured organism
Description: partial 16S ribosomal RNA
Rfam family: Bacterial small subunit ribosomal RNA
Source: RNAcentral